CCUACGGGGCGCAGCAGUGAGGAAUAUUGGUCAAUGGACGAGAGUCUGAACCAGCCAAGUAGCGUGAAGGAUGACUGCCCUAUGGGUUGUAAACUUCUUUUAUAUGGGAAUAAAAUGUUCCACGUGUGGGAUUUUGUAUGUACCAUAUGAAUAAGGAUCGGCUAACUCCGUGCCAGCAGCCGCGGUAAUACGGAGGAUCCGAGCGUAAUCCGGAUUUAUUGGGUUUAAAGGGAGCGUAGGUGGAUUGUUAAGUCAGUUGUGAAAGUUUGCGGCUCAACCGUAAAAUUGCAGUUGAAACUGGCAGUCUUGAGUACAGUAGAGGUGGGCGGAAUUCGUGGUGUAGCGGUGAAAUGCUUAGAUAUCACGAAGAACUCCGAUUGCGAAGGCAGUUCACUGGACUGCAACUGACACUGAGGCUCGAAAGUGUGGGUAUCAAACAGGAUUAGAUACCCCUGUAGUC
This 460-nucleotide ribosomal RNA is filed under the name uncultured bacterium. Its description in RNAcentral is "partial 16S ribosomal RNA". It matches the Rfam family "Bacterial small subunit ribosomal RNA", at positions 338 to 795 of the family's 1533-position model. The record is from RNAcentral.